This 1394-nucleotide long non-coding RNA is filed under the name Marmota monax (woodchuck). The record is from RNAcentral. Lineage: Eukaryota; Metazoa; Chordata; Mammalia; Rodentia; Sciuridae.
AGAAGCUCAGUACAGGCAGCAGCAGGGAGGCCGCAGGGCCAGAGCCUCCAACACCUGGGCUUCGGUCCUGGGCUCCUUCUGCCCGGAAAGACCUCUGGGCCUGGGUCAGUUGUUUUCCCGCCUAGAGCCACUGCCCACCUAGGUGGAAAGCGCAGUGGGAGAAUGGGGCGGGGACUCAGUGCCCCAGGAGCUCUGACAGCUCCCAGCAUAACUCCCGUUCAUUUCUUCCCACGAAGGAGAGUGUAGGAGAGCCCGCAUGAGGUUCCCCAAGGGCACGUCCAACGUGGGAGACCCUGGAGUCCCCCGGAAGGGAUUGCGGGGGCUCCUCUGGAGUUGCAGGAGGCACACCCGCCCCCUGACGAGGGGGAGUGGCUGGUGUCUGCAGAGGCCACCCUGAAGACUUGCGGAGAGGAUGGUGGAGACCACCCAGUGGGCUGCCCCUGCCGUGGUGCCACUGUGGCCCACAUCAUCACGUGUGACUCUGAGAUGCAGAGAAAAGGAGCCGACUGACGUCACUUCAAACCAGCAGGGAGGAGGCUGAGCACCCAGAGGGCCGUGCGCACGUGUGCUUGUGCGCAUGUGCCCAAGUGUGCACCUGCGCACCACGCCAGGGCAGCAGGGCGCCUGCCCCCGGGAGGUCUUCGCCAGCCACCCACCAGCCCUGGCCAUUCUCUGGCCUGAGGAGCCCAGCUGGCUUUCUGCAACCUGCCCCGGAGCGUAGACCUCCUCCCUUGGCCAACGCGCCCCUCCUAUACGAUCCAACCUGGUUCAGCAGUGUCCUGCUUUCUCCCAUUCCAUCUGUGACAGACGAAGGCCGCGGGCCUCCCGUCACCCCCAUCUCACUCCUGACUCACAGCAUUGCCCUCCUGUUUCUCGAACUUUCAGGGAACACCUUCAGGCACUCCUCACAGGCUGCUAUAAUCCUGCUUAUGAUAGGCUCCAUUCUACUGUUUUGGGGUGAAAUGUCUCAUUUAAGUCCAACCUUGCAGGAACCUUGCCAGUCUGAUUGACUCCUAGCACACAUUAUCAAUAAUGUUUGCUGGACAAGUGAGGAAGGAAUUCGUGCAGCCCCUGAAAUGUCCCCAGAUGACCACCCAGUGCUCUGAGUCAGCCCAUGCAUCAUGUUUAGAUCAGGACCCUGCAGCUCUGGAGCUCUGUUGCCACUGAAUUCACAUUUUAGGUUUAUGGAAUUUAUUACUGUAAUUCUGCAAUAAAGGUGCCUGACCUAUGUGCUGUCAUUCCCAGGAGCUCAGAGGGAUGGAAAUGGCAAGCAAGGCAAUACUCCUUGGAGCUAGUUUCCAGGAGGACUCGUGGAAAGGGGCACUGUCCAGGGUCACUGGGUUUGGUUCAUCACCACGAUCCGAUUGUCAGUUUGAUGCUGAGCCUCAGCACCC